This 200-nucleotide unclassified non-coding RNA is filed under the name fungal sp. RNAcentral's name for it is "partial internal transcribed spacer 2". Lineage: Eukaryota; Fungi. The record is from RNAcentral.
UUAAGUUCAGCGGGUAGCCCUACCUGAUUUGAGGUCAAUGUCAAAAGAUAUGGUGGGUUGUGAGCAGCGCCACAAGACCAGCCACAACGAAACUUAUUACGUCAAGCAUGGGUCAAGGGACAUCCACUUAGUCAUUUGAGGUGAGCCAGGGGAGGCAGGCACCCAACUCCAAGUCCAAUGACGGUCAGAAACCAUCAAGG